RNAcentral lists this long non-coding RNA (228 nucleotides) under Elaeis guineensis (African oil palm). RNAcentral's name for it is "long non-coding RNA (EGUI_LNC020203)". Lineage: Eukaryota; Viridiplantae; Streptophyta; Magnoliopsida; Arecales; Arecaceae. The record is from RNAcentral.
GACAGUCACCAAUUUGGCCGAAUAGUUCCUUCUCCAGUGAUCUUUGAUAUUGCAAUAAAAAUACUUUCUCUUGUCAUCGGACUUCUUUGGGCUUGGCCUCGUUCUUUUGCUUCUUUGUAGGCUUUUUCUUCUUCUUGAAAGAAGAUUUUCUCUUCGAGGAAGUCCGCUCCACAGUCAGAACUGUAUCCCUUGAACUCUUCAAGGUGCCUUCUGUUGUUACCAGUAUGU